RNAcentral lists this ribosomal RNA (460 nucleotides) under bacterium XPB2002. Its description in RNAcentral is "bacterial SSU rRNA". It matches the Rfam family "Bacterial small subunit ribosomal RNA", at positions 31 to 478 of the family's 1533-position model. The record is from RNAcentral.
GAGAACGCUAGCUACAGGCUUAACACAUGCAAGUCGAGGGGAAACGAUAUUGAAAGCUUGCUUUCUUUAGGCGUCGACCGGCGAAUGGGUGAGUAACGCGUAUCCAACCUGCCCCUGAGUAAGGGAUAGCCCAUCGAAAGAUGGAUUAAUACCUUAUGGUUUCCUUUGAAGGCAUCAGAUUAGGAAUAAAGAUUUAUCGCUGAGGGAUGGGGAUGCGUCUGAUUAGCUUGUUGGCGGGGUAACGGCCCACCAAGGCGACGAUCAGUAGGGGUUCUGAGAGGAAGGUCCCCCACAUUGGUACUGAGACACGGACCAAACUCCUACGGGAGGCAGCAGUGAGGAAUAUUGGUCAAUGGGCGCAAGCCUGAACCAGCCAAGUAGCGUGCAGGAUGACUGCCCUAUGGGUUGUAAACUGCUUUUAUACGGGGAUAAAGUCAGAGUCGUGACUCUGUUGCAGUAC